RNAcentral lists this ribosomal RNA (254 nucleotides) under uncultured bacterium. Its description in RNAcentral is "partial 16S ribosomal RNA". It matches the Rfam family "Bacterial small subunit ribosomal RNA", at positions 524 to 776 of the family's 1533-position model. The record is from RNAcentral.
UACAGGGGGUGCAAACGUUGCUCGGAAUCAUUGGGCGUAAAGCGCACGUAGGCGGUUCGUUAUGUCGGAUGUGAAAGCCCUUGGCUUAACCGAGGAAGUGGCAUCCGAAACUGGCGAGCUAGAGUACGAAAGAGGAUCGCGGAAUUCCCGGUGUAGAGGUGAAAUUCGUAGAUAUCGGGAGGAACACCGGUGGCGAAGGCGGCGAUCUGGGUCGAUACUGACGCUGAGGUGCGAAAGCGUGGGGAGCAAACAGG